Cricetulus griseus (Chinese hamster) is the source of this 1245-nucleotide non-coding RNA. The record is from RefSeq and is a predicted model, not a curated record. NCBI's taxonomy places the organism in Eukaryota, Metazoa, Chordata, Mammalia, Rodentia, Cricetidae.
GCUGGCGUGGGUUUCUUCCCUUCUAAGCUUGGCCUAGAAACUCAUAUUUUAUUCAUGAAAAUUGAGGCCCUGGGAGGCCUUGGCAUAAACAGGAUGUAAAUAUUUGCGGGCAGUUGAAGGAGCAGUGAUAUCUGAGCAGGGGCUGUCCAAAGCUAGGGCACUGAGACAAUGCUUACUUUGUCACCCACCCACCUCCACCUCUGUUAAGGUUGAGGGUGGAGGACUGAGCCGGAGGGACUGGCCUACUGCUUUCAUUGUUGGGGUGCUCGGAGCUGGAGCUCAGGUCUAAAGUAGUCCACGCUGUUCUGGAACUCACAAUAUAGUCCUUCUACCUCCACAUCCCAAGUGCUGGAAUUACAGUAUUGGCCACCACGCCUCAGCUGAUUGCCACCUAACAGCCUGGCCAGGUAGAAUGGCUUUGAUUCUGAAUCCUGGCUGUUCCCAGUGUCAGCUGUGGGAACUCUUGCACAAAGUCCCCAAGGUCUCUCCCUGAACAGGCAGUAACGCCUACAGGAUCAUCAUGUCCACAUCUAUGUUCUGCGGCUAGCUUCACUCAGUUUGCCUUUCUGAGGUUAACUUGGCCUGGCUGGGAGCUUCCUGGGGAACACCAGUGGUCUGGGACAUGCAGAAGAGGCUCUCCCACGCUCUUAAUCCCAACACUCAGAGGCAGAGGCAGGUGGAUCUCUGUGAGUGCCAGGUCAGUCUGGUCUACAAAACAAGUUACAGGACAUCGAAGAGCUCUUACACAGAGAAACCCCAUCUUGGAAAAAAAAGAAAGAAAAAGACUUUUACUCUGCACCAUAUUUGAGUCACCUUUCCCUCAGUCUCCUUCAGAGACAUUCCUAGUCACAACUGUUAAGUAGGACACAAGGUGGCUUUGGGUUUUAUGUAUCAGCAUCUAAAAAGGACUCAACAGGGACAUCAUCCCAGAUGUCACUUUGAAAAGAAGUGGGAAAUGAUCAAAGAGGGCAAGUUCACGGUCUGAGCAUCCGGGUAUACAGGUCCUGAUAUACCAUCUACCCCACCACAGUACGCCAGGACGGUCACCCACAGCCACCCAUGGCCCAGGUUUCACGGGAAAUUGACCCUAUUUUUAGACAGGGUCUCAUGUAACCCAGGCUGGACCCCAAGUCCUGAUAAGCUUAGGAUGGCUUUGAACUUCUGAUGCCCCUGCUCCCCCCCGCCUCCUGAGUCCUGGAUUGCAGUGAACUCCAUGCCCUGUUUAUAAAGUUUAUAAGGCUUGAA